UACGUAGGGACCAAGCGUUGUUCGGAUUUACUGGGCGUAAAGGGCGCGUAGGCGGCAUGACAAGUCACUUGUGAAAUCUCCGGGCUUAACUCGGAACGGUCAAGUGAUACUGUCGCGCUAGAGUGCGGAAGGGGCAAUCAGAAUUCUUGGUGUAGCGGUGAAAUGCGUAGAUAUCAAGAGGAAUACCUGAGGUGAAGACGGGUUGCUAGGCCGACACUGACGGCUGAAGCGCGGAAAGCCAGGGGAGCAAACGGG
Molecule: ribosomal RNA, 255 nt
Filed under: uncultured bacterium
Lineage: Bacteria
Description: partial 16S ribosomal RNA
Rfam family: Bacterial small subunit ribosomal RNA
Source: RNAcentral